CGGCGGACGGGUGAGUAACACGUGGGUAACCUACCUAUAAGACUGGGACAACUUCGGGAAACCGGAGCUAAUACCGGAUAAGAUAUCGAACCGCAUGGUUCGAUAGUGAAAGAUGGUUCUGCUAUCACUUAUAGAUGGACCCGCGCCGUAUUAGCUAGUUGGUGAGGUAACGGCUCACCAAGGCAACGAUACGUAGCCGACCUGAGAGGGUGAUCGGCCACACUGGAACUGAGACACGGUCCAGACUCCUACGGGAGGCAGCAGCC
Molecule: ribosomal RNA, 266 nt
Filed under: uncultured Staphylococcus sp.
Lineage: Bacteria; Bacillati; Bacillota; Bacilli; Caryophanales; Staphylococcaceae
Description: partial 16S ribosomal RNA
Rfam family: Bacterial small subunit ribosomal RNA
Source: RNAcentral